Molecule: ribosomal RNA, 416 nt
Filed under: uncultured prokaryote
Description: partial 16S ribosomal RNA
Source: RNAcentral
CCCUCUGGGGUGCACCAGGAUCUCCGGAAAAGGAUGCCCCGUGUACGGCGAAAAGUAAUCCAAAUAUUCAGCCAGAGACAAAGAGUGAUCAGGAGCAGGAGGUCGGAUCAUCGGUUAACAGCCUGCUUGGAGAAUACAACGACAGUGUUACAGAUCUCUACGCCAAAGUGGCUGGGGGAAUCCUUGGCGUUUCUCGACACUUCUAUGGGAACGAAUGGCACUUCGAACCCCUGGGAAGCACCCUCGGCUUCAAGAUGGAUCCGCUGGGGAAAUACGUGAAUACCCUGGUCAAGGGCCUCGUGCUCUAUAAGCUUUCGGAACCAACUUCCUCGACCUAUGUCAGCGAGAACUUCAAAAUUGUCCGCCAGGAAACGGGUUACCGGUGGGAAGACAAAUACGGGAAUUGGCGGGAGAGC